This 429-nucleotide ribosomal RNA is filed under the name Chloroflexota bacterium. Its description in RNAcentral is "Chloroflexi bacterium partial 16S ribosomal RNA". It matches the Rfam family "Bacterial small subunit ribosomal RNA", at positions 355 to 776 of the family's 1533-position model. Lineage: Bacteria; Bacillati; Chloroflexota. The record is from RNAcentral.
UGGGGAAUAUUGCACAAUGGGCGCAAGCCUGAUGCAGCCAUGCCGCGUGUGUGAAGAAGGCCUUCGGGUUGUAAAGCACUUUCAGCGGGGAGGAAGGCGUUAAGGUUAAUAACCUUGGCGAUUGACGUUACCCGCAGAAGAAGCACCGGCUAACUCCGUGCCAGCAGCCGCGGUAAUACGGAGGGUGCAAGCGUUAAUCGGAAUUACUGGGCGUAAAGCGCACGCAGGCGGUCUGUCAAGUCGGAUGUGAAAUCCCCGGGCUCAACCUGGGAACUGCAUCUGAUACUGAAAAGCUUGAGUCUCGUAGAGGGGGGUAGAAUUCCAGGUGUAGCGGUGAAAUGCGUAGAGAUCUGGAGGAAUACCGGUGGCGAAGGCGGCCCCCUGGACGAAGACUGACGCUCAGGUGCGAAAGCGUGGGGAGCAAACAGG